GAGGAAGAUGAAGAUGAUCAAUCGUCUUCAUCAGAGAAAGAUGAAGAGGCGCCAUCAAUCGCCUUCAUCUUUAGCCAAUCAAAAUCCUCCAUAACGCUCUGCUACCUCAAAUAAAUAAAAAUCUUACAUUGAACAAGUCGUAGAUAAACUUCUUGAGGUGACGUUGUUUCAAAUCAAGCUAAGUAUUUCUAACCUUACUAAACCUUCAUCUUCACUCUCUUUAUAAGUUAGUUUCUUGCACAGAUUCUUAUCCAUGAAUAUGUUUGCCGCAAAGAUCGAUCUUCUUGAUCUCAGAAGCUUAUGAUUGGGAUGAUCCAAAGAAAAUCUCAGGUAAAAUCAAUUUUUCAUUUAUAGAUCUGAACUCUAUGGAUUGAAAUCCAGCUUUUCUUAACACCACCAUUUCUUAUUUUUGUGAGGUUAUGUUUAGAUCUAGUACUCCUCUAUAUGUUUGUGUGAACAAAAGAAUACUUUAGUUCAUCGACCAGUUUUGUCACGCUCCAACCCUAUACUCUGGAUGUGGCUGAGAAUCGGAAAUCAUUAUUGGUCUGAACUUUAUGGAUUGAAAUCCAGCUUUUUUCAACACCACCAUCAAAACUCAAAUUCACAAAAAUAUUACUUAUUUUUGUGAGGUUAUGUUUAGAUCUAGUACUUUUCUGCAUGUUUGUUUGAACAAAAGAAUACUUUAGUUCAUCGACUAGUUUUUUCACGCUCCGACCCUAUACCCCGGAUGUGGCUGACAAUCAUAAAUCAUUACUGGUCUCAAGUAAGCUCUUGGACUGAUUUACUACUCAACGGAAGUCUAAACACUUAUGUGGAAACUUACAAGUGAUAAACAUUUACACCUCUGAACAUGUUUUCUGAAAAAUCUAAAAUAUAAGUAUGAAUCAUCAUAACAAUAAUUUUUAAAAUAUCUUAAGAUCAAGAUCUACUUGACUCUGUAACUUGUCUAUGAAGCCUCUGCUGAACUAAGAUAGGUUUCGGGACAAGAUCCACGAUUAUCUGAAUAAUAAAUUAGAAUGUCUACUAAAUGAUAAAAUAAAUAACUAAUCUGGAGCCUUCCGAAAGGAGUGAAGUCUCACCGAAAUAUAAUGGAGAGGAUCUCAGUGAAGCGUCUGAUCAAUCCUGAGUUCAUUUAUUUGUAUCAUUAGAAGAUGCAACACCAAAUGGUGUUAGUACAUGAAAUGUACGGUAUGUGAAAUAGUUAAAUAAAACAUUGGUUAGACUGAACAUACGUAAUCGAGGACCAACUCAAAGAAAGAACGAGUAUUGGGUAAUUGUGUAAAGUAAAGCAUGUGAAUGCAUUGAAAACAAUAAAGCUUUACAACUUAGAUAUAUGCAAUGAUAUCAAAUGCUAAAAUAGUAUACUUUACUUUUUCUUGGGGAGUUUAUCUAACUGAAAACCAACAAUAUUAACCUCAUGAUGAUACAAUGUCUUGCUCACAUUGUUGGAGUCAUCCAACACUUUGUUAGGGUGUAGGAUGAACUGAACCAGUCGAUCCAAUAACUAGGCCCUUUCCUGGGGCUUUAUGAGGAGUUACCCGAAUCAAUGACAUGAUCCUAUCCUACGCUAGAUGAUCAAUUAUGGGGUUGGGUUAUCUAAGACCUUACUCAACUUUAUGCUCAAUACUACUCAAAAUCUUCCGGUUGUGUCUUACCAUAUGUAAUAAAAAAAACACGAAAUAUGUGGGGUUUAUAUUUUGUGUUCUUUAUUACAUAUGGGACACUCCUAAAGAGACCUCUCAAAGUCAUUUUCUAAAACGCUUUCCUCGUUUACCUUGUCUUAAUAUCUGGAAAACGAUCCACCUUAGUGGGCAAGGGAAAUAUUGGUGCACUCGAUUAAAGAUGUUCACAAAAAGAUGUAUCGGGACCAACCAAGGUAUAGUUCUAUCUAGAACUCUUUACCUUGGUUGGUCAUGACGCAUUUCCAUUGUAAACUUCUUUACUAAUGGAGUGCACCAAUAUUUCCUAGCUCAUUCAGGUAGAUCUUUUCCUAGAUCUAUAGACAAGGUAAAAGAGAGAUUGUAUUAGAAAACCAAUUGGAGAUGUCUCUUUAAGAAAAUUACCAUAUGUAGUAAAGAACACAAAAUAUGUCAAGUGGGUAUAUAUUUUGUGCUCUUUAUUUUAUAUGGGACACACUUAAAAUGACCUCUCAAAGUCAUUUUCUAAAACACUUUCCUCUUUGACCUUGUCUUUAGAGCUGGAAAAAGAUCUUCCUUAGUGAGAAAGUAAAAUAUUGGUGCACUUGAUUAGUAAGGAAAUUUACUUGGGAAAUGCAUCAUGACCGACCAAGGUAAAGAUUUCUAGACACUUGAUUAGUAAGGAAAUUUACUUGGGAAAUGCAUCAUGACCGACCAAGGUAAAGAUUUCUAGAUAGAACUCUUUACCUUGGUUGGUCAUGAUGCAUUUCCUUUGUAAACUUCUUUACUAAUGGAAUGAACCAAUAUUUUCCUAGCUCAUUCAGGUGGGUGUUUUCCUAACUCUAAAGAAAAGGUAAAAGAGGAGAGCGUUUUAGAAAACCACUUUGAGAGAUCUUUUUAAGAGUGAUCCCAUGUGUAAUAAAGAACACAAAAUAGGUCAAGUGGGGUAUAUAUUUUGUGUUCUUUUUACAUGCGCGACACUCUUAAAGAGACCUCUCAAAAUCAUUUUCUAAAACAUUAUACUUGUCUUUAGAGAUGGAAAAAGAUCCACCUGAGUGGGCAAGUAAAAUAUUGGUGCACUCGAUUUGUAAGGAAGUUUACUAGGGAAAUGCAUCAUGACCAACCAAGGUAAAGACUUCUAAAUAGAACUCUUUACCUUGGUUGGUCCAGAGGCAUUUCCUUUGUAAACUUCUUUACUAAUGGAAUGCACCAAUAUUUUCCUAGCUCAUUCAGUUGGGUGUUUUCCUAUCUCUAAAGACAAGGUAAAAGAGGAGAGCACUUUAGAAAACCACUUUGAGAGGUCUUUUUAAGAGUGUUCCCAUGUGUAAUAAAGAACACAAAAUAGGUCAAGUGGGGUAUAUAUUUUGUGUUCUUUUUACAUACGGGACACUCUUAAAGAGACCUCUCAAAAUCAUUUUCUAAAACGUUAUACGUGUCGUUAGAGAUGGAAAAAGAUUCACCUAAGUGGGCAAGUAAAAUAUUGGUGCACUCGAUUUGUAAGGAAGUUUACUAGGGAAAUGCAUCAUGACCAGCCAAAGUAAAGAUUUCUAAAUAGAACUCUUUACCUUGGUUGGUCCAGAUGCGUUCCCUUUAUAAACUUCUUUACUAAUGGAAUGCACCAAUAUUUUCCUAUCUCAUUCAGUUGGGUGUUUUCCUAUCUCUAAAAACAAGGUAAAAGAGGAGAGCAUUUUAGAAAACCACUUUGAGAGGUCUUUUUAAGAUUGUUCCCAUGUGUAAUAAAGAACACAAAAUAGGUCAAGUGGGGUAUAUAUUUUGUGUUCUUUUUACAUACGGGACACUCUUAAAGAGACCUCUCAAAAUCAUUUUCUAAAACGUUAUACUUGUCUUUUGAGAUGGAAAAAGAUACACCUAAGUGGGCAAGUAAAAUAUUGAUGCACUCGAUUUGUAAGGAAGUUUACUAGGGAAAUGCAUCAUGACCAGCCAAGGUAAAGACUUCUAAAUAGAACUCUUUACCUUGGUUGGUCCAGAUGCGUUCCCUUUAUAAACUUCUUUACUAAUGGAAUGCACCAAUAUUUUCCUAGCUCAUUCAGUUGGGUGUUUUCUAUCUCUAAAAACAAGGUAAAAGAGGAGAGCAUUUCAGAAAACCACUUUGAGAGGUCUUUUUAAGAGUGUUCCCAUGUGUAAUAAAGAACACAAAAUAAGUCAAGUGGGGUAUAUAUUUUGUGUUCUUUUUACAUACGGGACACUCUUAAAGAGACCUCUCAAAAUCAUUUUCUAAAACGUUAUACUUGUCUUUAGAGAUGGAAAAAGAUCCACCUGAGUGGGCAAGUAAAAUAUUGGUGCACUCGAUUUGUAAGGAAGUUUACUAGGGAAACGCAUCAUGACCAACCAAGGUAAAGAAUUCUAAAUAGAACUCUUUACCUUGCCUUGGUUGGUCCCGAUGCGUUCCCUUUAUAAACUUCUUUACUAAUGGAAUGCACCAAUAUUUUCCUAGCUCAUUCAGGUGGGUGUUUUCCUAUCUCUAAAGACAAGGUAAAAGAGGAGAGUGUUUUAGAAAACCACUUUGAGAGGUCUUUUUAAGAGUGUUCCCAUGUGUAAUAAAGAACACAUAUCUAUGACAUCUAGAUACGUAAUCAAUAUUUAGCAUUUGCUGAUCCUCUCAUACCCUUCUUAUUCUUCCUUGAGAUAAUCCCAGUUCGCUUUGGCUGACUUUAGAGACAAAAGUUUAGUGAAAACUAAAGAAUAUAAACAAGCUUUUGCCUUUGAUUUUCUGGUUUUUUGUCUUUGUGGUUCUCGAUUUGGGCCAUAGUAGGAUUGUUAGGCAAUGUUUGGCUGUCUCCACAUAUCCAUAACAUCUAGAUACAGUUUCAUCCUUACCGCCCAAAUCUGAUAGUUUUCACCAUUAAAGAAAUGUGUUGCAACUCGAUUGACUUACUAUUAAGGAAGAAUAUAAAAAUCAGGUUAGGCUACCCACAAAACUCAACAGAGUUACGACUCAGAGCUUCCACAGCCUCGUGAUAUCAUUCAUAGAGUUACCAAAUGAUAUCCGCCACAAAAUUCUCUUCUUUAACUCUGCAACUUGGUGCGACAGUUCCGUCCCCUGUGCAAGUUUCUGUCUACUGGUAUUAGUGUCCGUAAUGUCAUUGUUAAAGAGGUCCUCGACAAUGAAAAAAACAUUUUGCUGAAUCAACUUUCCAAUCACACAAAGAUAACGAUCACAGAUUUGAUCCCCGUCUAGUGCAGGCAAUUUCACUGUGGCUUCGUCCCCCUAGAUAUUGUCAGCACAACUUUUAACAACUUAGGAUGAUAAAAGAGUUCUAAAAAAGGGAGCCACGAAGAAUCGCUGACCUUCCAUUACCUAUGAUGCUAAGAUUUGAGUCCAGAUUAAUAUAUUUCAUUUUCGUUUGAUGUAAAUAUUCAUCCUCACACACUAACAAAAAAUAAUUAGAUGAAUACAAGGUUAAAAAUGCUCAGGCCGAUGAAUCAAGCAGAUAUAACAGAGGAAAACAGAGACGAUAUCUGUUUUUUAUUGAACCAUCAAUUUUCAUGGGAAAACCAACAACGAGAACAGUCUGCCUGUGGUCGAGGAGGCUUCUCUAUUGGAAGUGCCUGAAAAAUAAAGCAUGAAGAAGCUUCGCUAAGUAUACAUAAAAGAGUAGAGCCGACACAUCACAAGUACAUUGUAGACGUUAGCAAAAACAAACAAACUGCAACAUCGAGGUGUAUUAUUAGACAAUUACCAUUGGAACUGCAACUGAUAUUGUCUUGUAUCCGAUUAGAGGAUCUUGAAAUCUUUCAAGAAAUAAUGCCAGCAUA
RNAcentral lists this long non-coding RNA (5414 nucleotides) under Solanum lycopersicum (tomato). Its description in RNAcentral is "long non-coding RNA (SLYC_LNC000126)". The record is from RNAcentral. Lineage: Eukaryota; Viridiplantae; Streptophyta; Magnoliopsida; Solanales; Solanaceae.